AUUGAACGCUGGCGGCAUGCUUUACACAUGCAAGUCGAACGGUAACAGGCCUUCGGGCGCUGACGAGUGGCGAACGGGUGAGUAAUGCAUCGGAACGUGCCCAGAGGUGGGGGAUAACGCAGCGAAAGCUGUGCUAAUACCGCAUAUUAUCUGAGGAUGAAAGCGGGGGACUAAGCAGCAAUGUUUGGCCUCGCGCCUUUGGAGCGGCCGAUAUCAGAUUAGGUAGUUGGUGGGGUAAAGGCUCACCAAGCCAACGAUCUGUAGCUGGUCUGAGAGGACGACCAGCCACACUGGAACUGGGACACGGUCCAGACUCCUACGGGAGGCAGCAGUGGGGAAUUUUGGACAAUGGGCGCAAGCCUGAUCCAGCAAUGCCGCGUGCAGGAAGAAGGCCUUCGGGUUGUAAACUGCUUUUGUACGGAACGAAAAGGCUCUGGUUAAUACCUGGGGCUCAUGACGGUACCGUAAGAAUAAGCACCGGCUAACUACGUG
This 492-nucleotide ribosomal RNA is filed under the name uncultured bacterium. RNAcentral describes it as "bacterial SSU rRNA". It matches the Rfam family "Bacterial small subunit ribosomal RNA", at positions 30 to 507 of the family's 1533-position model. The record is from RNAcentral.